RNAcentral lists this ribosomal RNA (464 nucleotides) under uncultured bacterium. Its description in RNAcentral is "bacterial SSU rRNA". It matches the Rfam family "Bacterial small subunit ribosomal RNA", at positions 32 to 524 of the family's 1533-position model. The record is from RNAcentral.
AAUCAACGCUGGCGGCGUGCCUAACACAUGCAAGUCGCACGAGAAAGGGACUUCGGUCCUGAGUACAGUGGCGCACGGGUGAGUAACACGUGAAUAAUCUACCUCCGAGUGGGGAAUAACUGAGAGAAAUCUUAGCUAAUACCGCAUAACACUUACGAGUCAAAGCAGCAAUGCGCUUGGAGAGGAGUUCGCGGCAGAUUAGUUAGUUGGCGGGGUAAUGGCCCACCAAGACGAUGAUCUGUAUCCGGCCUGAGAGGGCGCACGGACACACUGGAACUGAAACACGGUCCAGACUCCUACGGGAGGCAGCAGUGGGGAAUUUUGCGCAAUGGGGGAAACCCUGACGCAGCAACGCCGCGUGGAGGAUGAAAUCCCUUGGGAUGUAAACUCCUUUCGAUCGGGAAGAUAAUGACGGUACCGAGAGAAGAAGCCCCGGCUAACUUCGUGCCAGCAGCCGCAGUAAU